GGUGUGUACUGGUCUUGAUGGAAGCUUACCUCUUGGUGGGUCGGCAUGCCCUUCGUUGGGUGUGUCGAUUAACCAGGACUUUUACUUUGAGAAAAUUAGAGUGUUCAAAGCAGGCUUUCGCCCGAAUACAUUAGCAUGGAAUAAUAGAAUAGGACGCGCGUCUUUAUUUUGCUGGUUUCUAAAUUCGCCGUAAUGAUUAAUAGGGAUAGUCGGGGGCAUUCGUAUUGCUUGGUCAGAGGUGAAAUUCUUGGAUUCUAGCAAGACGAACUACUGCGAAAGCAUUUGCCAAGGAUGUUUUCAUUGAUCAAGAACGAAGGUUAGGGGAUCGAAAACGAUCAGAUACCGUUGUAGUCUUAACAGUAAACUAUGCCGACUAGGGAUCGGACAAGCACAAUCUAUGACUUGUUCGGCACCUGAAGAGAAAUCUUUAAGUCUAGGUUCGGGGGGGAGUAUGGUCGCAAGGCUGAAACUUAAAGGAAUUGACGGAAGGGCACCACCAGGUGUGGAGCCUGCGGCUUAAUUUGACUCAACACGGGGAAACUCACCAGGUCCAGACACAAUAAGGAUUGACAGAUUGAUAGCUCUUUCUUGAUCUUGUGGUUGGUGGUGCAUGGCCGUUCUUAGUUGGUGGAGUGAUUUGUCUGGUUAAUUCCGAUAACGAACGAGACCUUAACCUGCUAAAUAGACCCGGGGCCUUAGGGAACCGGCUGUCUUCUUAGAGGGACUGUAGG
RNAcentral lists this ribosomal RNA (731 nucleotides) under uncultured eukaryote. RNAcentral describes it as "SSU rRNA". It matches the Rfam family "Eukaryotic small subunit ribosomal RNA", at positions 671 to 1426 of the family's 1831-position model. The record is from RNAcentral.